AAUAUCAUGAUGUAUUAGAGGAGUCUUACCAAGCAAAGAUCCAAACAGACCCUCUGGAAUCAACUGUUGUACUUCUGCACUUUUUGUCUCUUCUAGAUGCUCCAAUGAUGGUCCCACUUGGACUUCUCUGCAUGAUGGCAAGUACUGCUCCUCCGAUUCCUCUUCUUCCGGAACGCUACGAAUUAAUAGCUGACUGGAAGGGGUUUCCUUUAGCACAGAAAGGGGUCCUCGCACAUGACGACCAUACAACAGCUCAAACGGAGAGAAUCCUGUGGAUGCCUGCGGAACCUCCCGGUAAGAGAACAACAGGUACGGUAGCCAUUGGUCCCAAUCUGAUCCAGUCACGCUAACAAAUUUCCUCAGCAUCUGUUUUAGGGUGGCAUUAAAUCGCUCCACUAGCCCAUCCACCUGCGGGUGAUAGGGUGUGGUCCUUAACCCCCCGAAUUCCUAACAAACUAUUCACCUGUCUUAUCAAUUUUGCUGUUAGGUUGGACCCCUGGUCAGUUAACAUUUCUCUUGGGAUCCCCACUCUGGCAAAUAGCUGUAUUAAAACCCUCACAAUGUUACUUGCAUUUGUCUUUUUCAGGGGAAAAGCUUCUGGAAACCGGGUUGCGUAGUCGUACACCACUAAAAUAUAUUUAUGUCCAGUGCGGCUACAUUCGACAGGACCCACAAUGUCAACCGCUAUCCUGAAAAAAGGCUCUUCCACUACAGGCAAAGACUGCGAACCCCUUAUGGCCUUGUCAAAGCAGACACGCAGACUGGGGUCGUCCCGCUGAGCGGAAGCCACAUCGCUCGGUAAGUCGCUACCGUUUCCUGUGAGAUCCAAAGGCAAUAUGAGCUCACCCUGCUUCUGGGGAACGCCCCAGAGCUUCU
Erpetoichthys calabaricus (reedfish) is the source of this 876-nucleotide long non-coding RNA. RefSeq lists it as uncharacterized. The transcript has 3 exons. The record is from RefSeq and is a predicted model, not a curated record. Lineage: Eukaryota; Metazoa; Chordata; Cladistia; Polypteriformes; Polypteridae.